Molecule: ribosomal RNA, 1880 nt
Filed under: human gut metagenome
Description: bacterial LSU rRNA
Rfam family: Bacterial large subunit ribosomal RNA
Source: RNAcentral
UCAAGCUACAAAGAGCGUAAGGGGAAUGCCUUGGCACCAGGAGCCGACGAAGGACGCAGCGAUCUGCGAAAAGCCACGGGGAGCCGAAAGCAGGCUUUGAUCCGUGGAUAUCCGAAUGGGGAAACCCGCAUGGUUAAUAGCCAUGCGACGUAUACUGAAUAAAUAGGUAUGCGUCGGGAACCGUCUGAACUGAAACAUCUAAGUAGGACGAGGAAAAGAAAUCAACCGAGAUUCCGUAAGUAGUGGCGAGCGAACACGGAAGAGGCCAAACCGAAGGUAGCAAUAUCUUCGGGGUACGGACAGUAAACGGCAUUGCGGUAUCUUAGCAGAAGUGCAUGGGACGGCACACCAUAGAGAGUGAUAGUCUCGUAAGCGAAAAGAGAAGGCAGCCAACUGUAUCCAGAGUACCGCCGGACACGUGAAACCCGGUGGGAACAUGGGGGGACCAUCCUCCAAGCCUAAAUACUCCCUGGUGACCGAUAGAGAACAGUACUGUGAAGGAAAGGUGAAAAGAACCCCGGGAGGGGAGUGAAAAGAACCUGAAACCUUAUGCUUACAAGCACCGAGAGCCCAUCAAAGGGUGAUCGGGUACCUUUUGUAGAAUGGUCCGGCGAGUGAAUGUAACUGGCAAGGUUAAGCACUUCAGGUGUGGAGCCGAAGCGAAAGCAAGUCUUAAUAGGGCGUCAAGUCAGUUGUAUUCGACCCGAAACCGUGUGACCUAGCCAUGAGCAGGCUGAAGUGGAGGUAAAACUCCAUGGAGGGCCGAACCCACUCCCGUUGAAAUGGUAGGGGAUGACUUGUGGCUAGCGGAGAAAUUCCAAUCGAACUCGGAGAUAGCUGGUUCUCUCCGAAAUAGCUUUAGGGCUAGCCUCGAUUUAACAUUACCGGAGGUAAAGCACUGAAUGGGCUAGGGGCCGAGAGGUUACUGAACCCUAUCAAACUAAGAAUGCCGGAUAAUGAUAAUCGGGAGUCAGACAGUGUGAGAUAAGUUUCAUUGUCAAAAGGGAAACAGCCCAGACCCACAGCUAAGGUCCCAAAGUACAGUUAAGUGGUGAAGGAUGUGGAAUUGCAUAGACAACCAGGAUGUUGGCUUAGAAGCAGCCACUCAUUAAAAGAGUGCGUAAUAGCUCACUGGUCGAGUGAUUCUGCGCCGAAAAUUUAACGGGGCUAAACUAUACACCGAAGCUUAGGAUACCGCAAGGUAUGGUAGGAGAGCGUUCUGUACGGAGUGAAGUCGUAGCGAAAGCGGCGGUGGACUGUACAGAAGUGAGAAUGCCGGAAUAAGUAGCGAGAAUUAAGUGAGAAUCUUAAUGGCCGAAAGUCUAAGGUUUUUGGAGGAAGGUUCGUCCGCUCCAAGUAAGUCGGGAGCUAAGGUCAGGCCGAAAGGCGUAGCCGAUGCACAAACGGUUGAUAUUCCGUUACCGUCUACAAUUUAAACAAAGGGACACAUACAAAGCGUUUAACCCGGGCGAUGGUUGACCCGGGCGCAAGGGACUGAAAUUAGAGUAGGGAAGUAAAUGUGGCGUAUGGCGAGAAAAGCUUUGUGUAUAGAAGUAGACGCCCGUACCGCAAACCGACACAGGUGGACAGGAAGAGAAUUCUAAGGCCAGCGGGAGAAGGGUAGUUAAGGAACUCGGCAAAUUGACUCCGUAACUUCGGAAUAAGGAGUGCUCGAAAGAGCCGCAGAGAAUAGGCCCAGGCGACUGUUUAGCAAAAACACAGGUCUCUGCCAAAUCGAAAGAUGAAGUAUAGGGGCUGACACCUGCCCGGUGCCGGAAGGUUAAGAGGAGGAGUGCAAGCUCCGAAUUGAAGCCCCGGUAAACGGCGGCCGUAACUAUAACGGUCCUAAGGUAGCGAAAUUCCUUGUCGGGUAAGUUCCG